UCAAACCGGAGGGAACCAUGGGGAAUAAUGCCCAAUGGGGGAAACCCUGAAGCCACCCUGCCCCGGGGGGGAAAAAAGCCCUCCGGUUGGAAAACACUUUCCAUUGGGAAGAAAAGGUGGUAAUUAAAACCCGCCAACUGGGACCUUAAACACCAAAAAAACACCCGCUAACUCCCUGCCCACCGCCCCCGUAAUACCGAAGGGGCCAACCUUAAUCCGAAUUACCGGGCCUAAAGCCCACCCCGGGCGUUUGGUUAACCAAAUGGUAAAACCCCCGGCUCCACCCGGGAAGGUCCUUUAAAACUGGCAAAACAAAAUCCUGGAAAAGGGAGGGGAAUUCCCGGGGGAACCGUGAAAUGCCUAAAAUUCUGGAAGAACAUUCAUGGCCAAGGGCGGUCCCUGGCCAAAAAACGAACCUCCUGGUGCAAAAAGGGGGUAACCAACAAGAUUAAAACCCCCGGUAAGCCCCACCCCAAAACCCGCCCACCAACCGGU
RNAcentral lists this ribosomal RNA (495 nucleotides) under bacterium 73_VP8_E3. RNAcentral's name for it is "partial 16S ribosomal RNA". It matches the Rfam family "Bacterial small subunit ribosomal RNA", at positions 337 to 824 of the family's 1533-position model. The record is from RNAcentral.